GGCCGAACUUCUCGUCCAUAUUAAGUUGAGUGCCACCUGGGAGGUGCCACUCAAAUGCGUGCACGAGUGUGUCCAAGAUGCACUCAACGAGUGCAAUUCCCAUUCGUAUGCCAGCACACAUUCUUCUUCCAGAUCCAAAUGCGGAUCAUCCCACACAUCAGGGUCGCGUCCGAUGGCCCAUACAUUAACCAACAGCCUCGUGUUUUUGGGUAUGUGGUAUCCCUCCACCUCACAAGCCUCUUGUGAGACCCUUGGGAGGUUCAGCGGCAGUGGUGGGUGCAUCCGAAAUGUUUCCUUGCAUACUGCCUGCAGACGAUCCAAAAUUUGACGGUUGUUUAACAACUCGGAUAGUGCCCACACGAUUGUGAUCGCUGAUGUAUCGGUGCUGGCAAUAAACAAGUUCUAUCCAAAUUAUUGAUCGUACGGUCAAACUUAUCAAUUCAAGAAAAAUUAACAAUGAUAUAUGUGCAUAUAUAUGAAUGAAAAAAAAAUAUUUAUUAAACUAUAAUCGAUCAUAUAUAUAUAUAUAUAUGUAGAUUACCUACCAAGAGAAGCGCUUUAAUGUUGGUGAAAGUGUGCUUUGAACCAUCAUCGCACUCCCGGUUCGCCAUUACAACAUCAAUAAAGUCUGGAUUUCGGGUU
Molecule: long non-coding RNA, 642 nt
Organism: Ziziphus jujuba (common jujube)
Lineage: Eukaryota; Viridiplantae; Streptophyta; Magnoliopsida; Rosales; Rhamnaceae
Exons: 3
Source: RefSeq, a predicted model, not a curated record